This 262-nucleotide ribosomal RNA is filed under the name uncultured bacterium. Its description in RNAcentral is "partial 16S ribosomal RNA". It matches the Rfam family "Bacterial small subunit ribosomal RNA", at positions 15 to 273 of the family's 1533-position model. The record is from RNAcentral.
GAUCCUGGCUCAGGAUGAACGCUAGCGGCAGGCUUAACACAUGCAAGUCGAGGGGCAGCGCGGGGCGGCAACGUCCUGGCGGCGACCGGCGGAGGGGUGCGUAACGCGUGAGCGACAUGCCCGUUGCCCGGGGACAACCGGUGGAAACGCCGACUAAUCCCCGAUGGGACGGAGGCCCUCAUGGGUCUCUGUUGAAAGUUACGGCGGCGACGGAUUGGCUCGCGUCCGAUUAGCUUGUUGGCGGGGUAACGGCCCACCAAGG